Molecule: ribosomal RNA, 253 nt
Filed under: uncultured bacterium
Lineage: Bacteria
Description: partial 16S ribosomal RNA
Rfam family: Bacterial small subunit ribosomal RNA
Source: RNAcentral
UACGUAGGGUGCGAGCGUUAAUCGGAAUACUGGGCGUAAAGCGUGCGCAGGCGGUUUUGUAAGCCAGAUGUGAAAUCCCCGGGCUUAACCUGGGAAUGGCAUUUGGGACUGCAAGGCUUGAGUGCGGCAGAGGAGACUGGAAUUCCUGGUGUAGCAGUGAAAUGCGUAAGAUAUCAGGAGGACACCGAUGGCGAAAGGCAGGUCUCUGGGCUGACACUGACGCUCAUGCACGAAAGCGUGGGGAGCAAACAGG